UCCUUGAUGGUCCAGUGGUUAGGACUCUCUGCCUUCCAUUGCAGGGGACACAGGUUCGAUCCCUGGUUGGGGAA
This 74-nucleotide transfer RNA is filed under the name Ovis aries (sheep). It matches the Rfam family "tRNA". Rfam says of the family: Transfer RNA (tRNA) molecules are approximately 80 nucleotides in length. Their secondary structure includes four short double-helical elements and three loops (D, anti-codon, and T loops). Further hydrogen bonds mediate the characteristic L-shaped molecular structure. tRNAs have two regions of fundamental functional importance: the anti-codon, which is responsible for specific mRNA codon recognition, and the 3' end, to which the tRNAs corresponding amino acid is attached (by aminoacyl-tRNA synthetases). tRNAs cope with the degeneracy of the genetic code in two manners: having more than one tRNA (with a specific anti-codon) for a particular amino acid; and 'wobble' base-pairing, i.e. permitting non-standard base-pairing at the 3rd anti-codon position. The record is from Rfam by way of RNAcentral. Lineage: Eukaryota; Metazoa; Chordata; Mammalia; Artiodactyla; Bovidae.